UUGGGGUAGAGCAUCUGGAGUCCGUAAACCCCUAUGAAUAUGAGGAAGACAGACAGGGGCCUGGUGAUCAGCACCCCCAGGCAGUACGACCCACAGGAGGCAGAGGAACUGGCACCCGGGGAACUGGAGGCAGAGGAACUGGCAUCUGGGUCCCAGCUUGGAGUCCAGUCAUACCCUGUGUGUGAGCGGGGGAAAGGUGCCAUUAGAGAGGGCUGCUGUAAAUGGUAAAUGGACUGCAUUUAUAUAGCGCUUUUAUCCAAAGCGCUUUACAAUUGAUGCCUCUCAUUCACCAGAGCAGUUAGGGGUUAGGUGUCUUGCUCAGGGACACUUCGACACGCCCAGGGCGGGGAUCGAACCGGAAACCCUCCGACUGCCGGACGACCGCUCUUACCUCCUGAGCUAUGUCGCCCCCAUGCUGUGAGAUGCUAAACGCCUGGGGAAAGUGCAGCUGGCAGUACUCUCGUGUCAUCAGGCCUGUUAACGUGGGCUACAUCCCAAGCUGCUACAUCCUGUGCAAGUGCUUGGCAAAUCCCACUAGUAUAGGCCAGUGGUCUCCAACCAUGGUCCUGGAGAGCUGCAGGGUCUGCCGAUUUUCACGGUGACUCUGCACUUCACGAAUCAAUUAGAGCAGCUGAUUGCACGGUUAACUCAACUCACCUGGUGCCUUGGGUCUCGAUUGGGUGCUGAUUUUAAGGUGAAAACAAAAACCAGCAGACCCUGUAGCUCUCCAAGACCAGGGUUGGAGACCACUGGUAGUGGUAUAGGCUAUCCAUGAAUUAGUGUAGUUAUUUUAAUGUGUUAAUCGUUUGUUUUCCAGGUGAGGUCAUUCUUGUGUCUUACAGUCACGGUUCAAGAAGCUCGUAUGGUGAUGACUUACGUUUCAGUUGGUCUCGUUUCGCGUCGCCUGUCGGAAAGGAAAGCUGACGUCAGGGCCUGUGCCGUUAUUCAGGUGAAAUAUUUGAAUUACAAAAGGGGAGGAGAGUGGAGUGAAACAUGCUUCUCUGGCAGUGGGAUAAAAUGUGUGGAACUUUUUCUCUGGCUCGGGCCGAGGAAGUAACGUUUAACAAAUGCAGUAAUCCCGACUUUGUCACGGACGGUGGUCUGUCAAAAAAAUCAGCCUCAAAUCGAGUGCAAAAUUUGUGCGUGUGCGAGCGACGCGUUUAGGGGGGAAAUGAACUCACGGCAGAGAUUGUUCUCGCACGUUCCACCACCACAUUCACUGCAGGAUUGUCCAGCUAUGAAAGGAUGGACCCCCACAUAAUUCCCUCUGGCCGAAGAAAAGACAAAAUAUGCUCAGUUCCUAAAAUCAGUCCUGUGCAAAAUGGUGAUAUCGCUAAAUUGUUAUUAAAGGCAUACUAUGCAAGAUUUUUUUUUUUUUAAAGCCUUGAUGUGUUUACAAUCAAAGAUGUCUACCCUCCUCCUACAUCAGUACCGUCAAAUGAACUGUUUAUAUGUAAAUUACUUACGCAUCUCCGUAGUUACACACAAAUAUGGCUCCUGGGCGGUCGGCAAAGUUGGUGAACUCUACUCCGUUUGGACAAGCUUGCACUGCACAGCCAACUUUAUAACUUUUGGCCCAAACGACCUAGACAGUGGGGUUAUGGAAUGAAAUUUAAUCAACCCUCUGGUUAUACAGUUAUUGGUUAUGCAGUCAAAUUAUCAUUUGAACUUGACUGCCAUAGAGAAAAAUAAAAAAUCAAAUCUGUAUAUACAUACUGUAUAUCUGUCUUUUGUAGACCAAGAUGAAAUAAUCGUUAAUGUGAUUGAACCCCAAAAAUGCACUACACGCUAAUGACAGAACCAGGACCACUAUGCCAUUUCUUAACUGUGAGAAUCAAAAGUGGUCAAACAGCCCGAAAGGGGGACAGUACCUGCGUGUAAUGUCCACAUACGUUUGUGCACCCGUUAGAGGAAUAGUCAUAGUGUGCCACUUCAUCGCACCACAGCUUCAUUGCUCCCUCGACUGUGAAAGUGGAAUAUGGCGCCCCGACCCAGAUAUUUUCGCCCACGGAAUUAAAAGUGGGGUGCACCUCCCUCGGGGUCUCUAAUCGGGGGUUAUGGAUGAAUUUGCAGUGCCUCGCCCAGGCUCUAGCGGUUAUGGCCAGUGCGUCAUCCCAUGUCUGGAAGGAAGAAACAAUACUUGGAUUAUUGAUAAAGAAGAAGCGACGUAGAAGAAGUCAAAUUCUGCAUAACCCACGUUUCAUCUUUAAAUGUAUUUUGUCCAGAUUUUUCAAUAGAAUUUUGCAUUGCAUCUAUAAUAAUGGACAGCUCAGGGUUCGUUCGUUCCACUGUCUUUACGGAGCCUGGCAGACCUGAUACAGACAGAGAAAGCUCUGCAGUGUCUUGUUUUGCAGGGGUUUCAGAUUGCAACUGAGAUUAACGGGGCAAUGCAAACAGAGAAUGCCGUUGUUGGCAUGUUGACGAGUGCGACUAAAUUCCUUAUUUCGUAAAUGCAGGAAUGUAAUAAACACGGGAUUCACAUUUA
Long non-coding RNA from Anguilla rostrata (American eel), 2485 nucleotides. RefSeq lists it as uncharacterized. NCBI's taxonomy places the organism in Eukaryota, Metazoa, Chordata, Actinopteri, Anguilliformes, Anguillidae. The transcript is spliced from 2 exons. The record is from RefSeq and is a predicted model, not a curated record.